Long non-coding RNA from Episyrphus balteatus (marmalade hoverfly), 1261 nucleotides. RefSeq lists it as uncharacterized. The record is from RefSeq and is a predicted model, not a curated record. The transcript is spliced from 2 exons. Lineage: Eukaryota; Metazoa; Arthropoda; Insecta; Diptera; Syrphidae.
UGGAAACCAACAUUUUUGUAGUACUUUAAUUUUGUUUUAUAAAAUAGCCAUCGUAUAAAGGAAUACAUCACUGACUCCUCUAUAGAAAAUUAAAUGGAAACAACUAUGCUUUGUGUGUAUUCCUGUAACCAAAAUUAGGAUCACAUUAAUCAAAGUUAAACAAGGCCACAUCAUUUGUAGCUGGUCAUUUUCCCACUGACCCCUUCCAAAAGCAAAAACAAAACAAAAAAACAAAAAACAAGUUUCAUAACUUUAAGUAACAUUAAGACGGAAUCUCCCACUUGUAAAGUGAAAGUGCUUAAAGAACAACAACUAAUCUACAACAAAAUGAUCUCCCAAGCAAAGGGAUUAUCUCUUAUAUUUCAAUGGUUUACCACUAUAACAUGAUGAAGAUAACACAACGACACGAAGGGUCCUUCCGUCUGACAGCCAGGCAGUACAUUUGUCCAUUUCUCACAUUCAUUUCAUGCUGCCGUGCCUGUUUUAUGUCCUUGUGCUGAGAUUUAUUCGUCCUUUCAGAGCCUAUAAAAAUUCCACAGCAUAUUUACUAAGCCAGAUUCAAGGCACCCCGCAAGAGAGUGUAGGCGAAAUAAACAUGAAAGAAACUAGAAUUCUGUGAUUUUGAAAAUUCAAACAAAAGAAGAGAUUUUCUAUAAGACACACAAAUAAUGAAAACCAACACAAAUACAACCCAAUGUUGUUGUUUGUGUAUUGCUUCAAAAUAAAUUAAGUUUCUAUUUUUUUCAUUUUGUUUUGACCAAAGGACGAGCUUUGGUCCACUUUAUUUUCUUAUAUUUCAAUAAAAGUUGAUGAAACAAUAUUCUUUCGUAUUCGACACGUUUCUCUUGUUCGAGAGUUUUUGAAGUAAUAAAUAAAAUUCUCAGUACAAUAAAUCAAAAUAUUUUUUCAUUUCAAUUUUUAUAAAAAAUCAACGUCAAUUAAUUUCAGUAAAAUGAUGGUUAUAGCUUUUGAGAACGGACAAUAUACGAAAAAUUUAGAACAUGCCAUCCAUCAUUUUAUGCUUUUACAUAAAACUCACCUAAGACUGUGAGUGCUGAAACAUAAAAUUUGUUUCUCAUUGUCAGGACGUGGACGUGGGUUUUGGGAUAAAGAUGAAUGAGCAAAAUCGCAUUGUUAUUAAAUAACAUUCCUGAUGAAAUAUUGUUGUUGUCAAUGUCGAUAAAAAUGUGCGAAGGAUCUUGGAAUUUUUUUAUUCGAAUUUGAAGUCAAUGAAAAUGCAGAUUUUUUUUUAUUAAAUGAA